CACCACAAUACGAUACAAUAGGUAACAACCAUAUCCAAACAACAAGUUGUAUAAGUAAAAAUCAAAAAACAAAUAUUAUAGUUAAACGAACACCACAAUAUGAUACAAUAGGUAACAACCAUAUCCAAACAACAAGUUGUAUAAGUAAAAAUC
Solanum stenotomum is the source of this 153-nucleotide long non-coding RNA. RefSeq lists it as uncharacterized. The record is from RefSeq and is a predicted model, not a curated record. The transcript is spliced from 3 exons. Lineage: Eukaryota; Viridiplantae; Streptophyta; Magnoliopsida; Solanales; Solanaceae.